UGCUUUUAGAAGUAGGCAAGGGCUUUUCUCACUGUAGCGGGAGUUACUAUAGUUUAAUGAAAAUUUUGAAAUACCGGGUUGUGUCCUCUCUUCCUUUCAGCAAUUACACCACAUUGCCAUCAAACCCUUCUCUUCCGUGUUGAAAAGUGAAGCCUCCAGCGCUGCGCAAUGAACACGCACUUGCAUCUCGCUGACUGCCUCCUCUCAUUCGUGUUUGAAGCCUCAAUCCAAUCCCCAGAUUUUCGUACCAGGCUCUGAAAAUCGAAAGCUUUGCAGAAAUGAUUUGUUUUCAGAAAGAUUUUCCUAAAAUAUUAGGUAACUGAACUUCUUACUGGAAUAUACGGGGACAUGCACAUCGUGAUAGGCAUUUUGUUCACGGUGAAGAAAGAGAAGGUGAUGGGUCAAGUCAUGGGAUAGAGAUGGAUGAUGAUGUAGAAGAAGAAUAUCAUGGUCAUGGUGCACAAGAAAUGGAAAUAAUAAGAAAUAGCAUUACUCAAAGUUUGAUGAGUGCGAGUAAUAACUUGAACAUUUGAAUGUGUUAUGAAUUUUUUUGUGGUUACUUGAUGUGAACCAGAAACCAAUUGUUAUUAAUGUUACUAAUAAAUUUGUAUAAGUUAUUU
This 620-nucleotide long non-coding RNA is filed under the name Rosa chinensis. Its description in RNAcentral is "sRNA RchiOBHm_Chr1g0341351". The record is from RNAcentral. Lineage: Eukaryota; Viridiplantae; Streptophyta; Magnoliopsida; Rosales; Rosaceae.